GACGAACGCUGGCGGCACGCUUAACACAUGCAAGUCGAACGAGAGAAGAGAAGCUUGCUUUUCUGAUCUAGUGGCGGACGGGUGAGUAACACGUGAGCAAUCUGCCUUUCAGAGGGGGAUACCGAUUGGAAACGAUCGUUAAUACCGCAUAACAUAAUUGAACCGCAUGAUUUGAUUAUCAAAGAUUUAUCGCUGAAGGAUGAGCUCGCGUCUGAUUAGCUAGUUGGUAAGGUAACGGCUUACCAAGGCGACGAUCAGUAGCCGGACUGAGAGGUUGAUCGGCCACAUUGGGACUGAGACACGGCCCAGACUCCUACGGGAGGCAGCAGUGGGGAAUAUUGCACAAUGGAGGAAACUCUGAUGCAGCGAUGCCGCGUGAGGGAAGAAGGUUUUAGGAUUGUAAACCUCUGUCUUCAGGGACGAAAAAAGACGGUACCUGAGGAGGAAGCUCCGGCUAACUACGUG
RNAcentral lists this ribosomal RNA (465 nucleotides) under uncultured bacterium. RNAcentral describes it as "partial 16S ribosomal RNA". It matches the Rfam family "Bacterial small subunit ribosomal RNA", at positions 28 to 507 of the family's 1533-position model. The record is from RNAcentral.